This 481-nucleotide ribosomal RNA is filed under the name uncultured bacterium. RNAcentral describes it as "partial 16S ribosomal RNA". It matches the Rfam family "Bacterial small subunit ribosomal RNA", at positions 28 to 507 of the family's 1533-position model. The record is from RNAcentral.
GAUGAACGCUGGCGGCGUGCUUAACACAUGCAAGUCGAACGAAGCACUUUAUUUGAUUUCCUUCGGGACUGAUUAUUUUGUGACUGAGUGGCGGACGGGUGAGUAACGCGUGGGUAACCUGCCUUGUACAGGGGGAUAACAGUUGGAAACGGCUGCUAAUACCGCAUAAGCGCACAGCAUCGCAUGAUGCAGUGUGAAAAACUCCGGUGGUAUAAGAUGGACCCGCGUUGGAUUAGCUAGUUGGUGAGGUAACGGCCCACCAAGGCGACGAUCCAUAGCCGAACUGAGAGUGUGACCGGCCACAUUGGGACUGAGACACGGCCCAAACUCCUACGGGAGGCAGCAGUGGGGAAUAUUGCACAAUGGGCGAAAGCCUGAUGCAGCGACGCCGCGUGAGCGAAGAAGUAUUUCGGUAUGUAAAGCUCUAUCAGCAGGGAAGAUAAUGACGGUACCUGACGAAGAAGCACCGGCUAAAUACGUG